Molecule: ribosomal RNA, 253 nt
Filed under: uncultured bacterium
Lineage: Bacteria
Description: partial 16S ribosomal RNA
Rfam family: Bacterial small subunit ribosomal RNA
Source: RNAcentral
CACGGAGGCCCCGAGCGUUGUUCGGAUUUACUGGGCGUAAAGCGUGCGUAGGCGGCUGGGUAAGUCAGAUGUGAAAGCCCGAGGCUCAACCUCGGAACUGCAUCCGAUACUGCCUGGCUAGAGGACUGGAGAGGAGACUGGAAUUCACGGUGUAGCAGUGAAAUGCGUGGAUAUCGUGAGGAAGACCAAAGGCGAAGGCAGGUCUCUGGACAGUUCCUGACGCUGAUGCACGAAGGCCAGGGGAGCAAAAAGG